GACGAACGCUGGCGGCGUGCUUAAUACAUGCAAGUCGAACGGACAGGCUAUACCGUGCCUUGCUGCACCAGAGACUGUGAGUUGCGAACCAUUGAGUCACGCGUAGGUGACCUGCCUGGUAGCGCGGGAUAACUAUUGGUAACGCUAGCUAAUACCGCAUAAUAUUAAUUAUUGCAUGAUAAUUAAUUUAAUGGUGCAAUUGCACCACUACUAGAUGGAUCUUAGUGGUAUUAGCUACUAGGGGAGGUAACGGCUCACCUAGGCGGCGGAACAUAACCGAGCUGGGAGGGGGAGCGGCCACACUGGGGCUGAGACACGGCCCAGAAUCCUUCGGGAGGGGGCAGUAGGGAAUCUUUGGAAAUGGGCGGAAGUCCGACCGCGGAACGCCGCGGGAUGGAAGAAGGUCUUCGGGUCGUAAAAGUAUGUUUUAAGGGAAGAAAGGGGGUUGGGGUGGAACGAUGACACUGUGACGGUACCUGCCGAAUAAGCAACGGCUAACUACGUG
RNAcentral lists this ribosomal RNA (505 nucleotides) under uncultured bacterium. RNAcentral's name for it is "partial 16S ribosomal RNA". It matches the Rfam family "Bacterial small subunit ribosomal RNA", at positions 28 to 507 of the family's 1533-position model. The record is from RNAcentral.